UGCGAUUUUGGUCACUAUUCAC
Molecule: non-coding RNA, 22 nt
Filed under: Arabidopsis thaliana (thale cress)
Lineage: Eukaryota; Viridiplantae; Streptophyta; Magnoliopsida; Brassicales; Brassicaceae
Source: RNAcentral